CUACCGUCUGCUGCCCGCAUUCGCCCGCCCGGCGUCCGAGCCCUUCAGCGGCGACGGGCGGAGCUGGAGCCCCGGGCCUGGGCGCCAGGGGGGCUCCUGGGAGGGUGAUGAAGCAGGCCCUGGUGGACGAUACCGAGGAUGUGUCCCUGGACUUUGGAAACGAGGAGGAGCUGGCCUUUAGGAAAGCCAAGAUCAGAAUGUAACCGGAAGACUCCUGGUGGGCCUUCGAUGGUGGAACCAGAUAGAUGAAGAUGGGAAGAGCCACUGGAUCUUUGAAGCCAGGAAGGUCUCUCCGAAUAGCAUUGCUGCCACAGAAGCUGAAGCACGAAUCUUCUGGCUGGGCCUCAUAAUCUGCCCCAUGAUAUGGAUUGUGUUUUUUUUUAGCACCUUAUUUUCCUUGAAGCUAAAGUGGCUGGCUCUGGUGGUUGCUGGGAUCUCUCUCCAAGCUGCAAACCUGUAUGGCUACAUCCUUUGUAAGAUGGGAGGCAACAGUGACAUUAGCAAGGUCACAGCCAGUUUCCUGUCCCAGACAGUGUUCCAGACGGCCUGCCCAGGUGACUUUCAGAAGCCUGGCCUCAAGGGGCUGGAGAUUCACCAGCAUUAGCACCAGAGCGCUGGCAUCUGUAACUCUUUGCCACCAUGUCCCCAGAGGAGACUGAAGUGCUGUCCUCAUGCCUUCCUGUCUGUUCCUAGGAAGAUAUUUCCCCUGACAAACGUCCUGCCCACCAAUCCCAUCUUGGCAGAGCUGAACUGUGGCAGAGGUACAGGCUGGCAGGAAUGGAUGUGCCCUGGGCUGCUGCAAGCUCCUGUCCCCAGUCACAUCCAUUCAUGCAGCCCAACUGCCUCCAGGGGCCUCAGAGGGCAGCUCUCAUCACCACUUCCGGCCACUGCAAAAGCUGCCUGGGAAAGCAGAAACAGUUUGCAGAGCAGCCUUCCGAUCGUUUCCUCAACCAUGAGAUCAGGAUCUUGUUGGGCUCGCCUGGCGGCCCCACACGCCCUCACCUUGCAUUUAGGACAGAUGAAGCCACUCAUGUUCUCCACCACCCCGAUGAUGGGCAGCUUCACCUUGCGGCAGAAGUUGAUUUCUUUCCGGACAUCCUGGAGUGACACCUCCUACGAAGGUGAAAAGGCCAGUGAUUCCAGCAUCAAAGUGCGAGAAAGGGAAUCUCUGUGCAACCGAGGGGAUGGCUGCAAUGCAGUGGAUCUGCAAUCAUAAAGCCAUAGAGGUUUCUGCCCUGAUAGGGUUUGGCU
This 1251-nucleotide small RNA is filed under the name Pongo abelii (Sumatran orangutan). RNAcentral's name for it is "processed transcript". The record is from RNAcentral. Lineage: Eukaryota; Metazoa; Chordata; Mammalia; Primates; Hominidae.